UAGAUAUACACAAGAACCCCGAUUGCGGAGACAGCUUACUAAAGCCAUAACCGACGCUGAGGCACGAAAGCGUGGGGAGCGAACAGGAUUAGAUACCCUGGUAGCCCACGCUGUAAACGAUGUUCACUCGCUGUUGCGAUACACAGUAAAGCGGCUGAGCGAAAGCAUUAAGUGAACCACCUGGGGAGUACGAUCGCAAGGUUGAAACUCAAAAGGAAUUGACGGGGGCCCGCACAAGCGGAGGAACAUGUGGUUUAAUUCGAUGAUACGCGAGGAACCUUACCUGGGCUUAAAUGUAGACUGCAUAGGAUGGAAACAUUCUUUCCCUUCGGGGCUGUUUACAAGGUGCUGCAUGGUUGUCGUCAGCUCGUGCCGUGAGGUGUCGGGUUAAGUCCCAUAACGAGCGCAACCCUUACCGUUAGUUGCCAACAGGUCAAGCUGGGGACUCUAGCGGGACUGCCACCGUAAGGUGAGAGGAAGGUGGGGAUGACGUCAAAUCAGCACGGCCCUUAUGUCCAGGGCUACACACGUGUUACAAUGGCCGGUACAGAGGGCAGCUACCACGCAAGUGGGUGCCAAUCCCGAAAGCCGGUCCCAGUUCGGAUUGGAGUCUGCAACCCGACUUCAUGAAGUUGGAUUCGCUAGUAAUCGCGCAUCAGCCAUGGCGCGGUGAAUACGUUCCCGGGCCUUGUACACACCGCCCGUCAAACCAUGGGAGCUGGGGGUGCCUGAAGUCUGUGACCGUUAAGGAGCGGCCUAGGGUAAAACCAGUGACUGGGGUUAAGUCGUAACAAGGUA
RNAcentral lists this ribosomal RNA (798 nucleotides) under uncultured organism. RNAcentral describes it as "bacterial SSU rRNA". It matches the Rfam family "Bacterial small subunit ribosomal RNA", at positions 691 to 1498 of the family's 1533-position model. The record is from RNAcentral.